RNAcentral lists this ribosomal RNA (490 nucleotides) under uncultured bacterium. RNAcentral describes it as "bacterial SSU rRNA". It matches the Rfam family "Bacterial small subunit ribosomal RNA", at positions 26 to 507 of the family's 1533-position model. The record is from RNAcentral.
CAAGAACGAACGCUGGCGGCGCGCCUAAUACAUGCAAGUCGAGCGAGAAGGUGUAGCAAUACACUUGUAAAGCGGCGAACGGGUGAGGAAUGCAUGGGUAACCUACCCUCGAGUGGGGAAUAACUAGCCGAAAGGUUAGCUAAUACCGCAUACGUUUCCGGAACUUCGGUUUCGGAAAGAAAGCAAUACCGUGGGUAUUGCGCUCCUGGAUGGGCUCAUGUCCUAUCAGCUUGUUGGUGAGGUAACGGCUCACCCAAGGCUUCGACGGGUAGCUGGUCUGAGAGGACGAUCAGCCACACUGGCACUGCGACACGGGCCAGACUCCUACGGGAGGCAGCAGUAAGGAAUAUUGCGCAAUGGACGAAAGUCUGACGCAGCGACGCCGCGUGGGGGAUGAAGGUCUUCGGAUUGUAAACCCCUUUCGGGAGGGAAGAUGGAGUGGGUAACCACUUGGACGGUACCUCCAGAAGCAGCCACGGCUAACUUCGUG